Danaus plexippus (monarch butterfly) is the source of this 2381-nucleotide long non-coding RNA. RefSeq lists it as uncharacterized. The record is from RefSeq and is a predicted model, not a curated record. Lineage: Eukaryota; Metazoa; Arthropoda; Insecta; Lepidoptera; Nymphalidae. The transcript has 3 exons.
GUUUAUUGCGUGUUUUGAAAUUUUUUUUUUAUGUAAAUGUUGUCAAAAUAUUUACGGUAGAUAUAAUACUAUUCAAACUAAAAUAAUAGCUAGUAUAUUCCUUUGAUAUCAUAAAAGGCGAGUAAAACUUGUGCGCACAAAAACUGAUAGAUUAAGAUAUAAAAAAAAUAUAUAUUUGGUAUUAAAACACUAAAAUUGUGCAAUCAAAAAUACUUAAAAUAGCCAAUCAAUCAAUCUAGAAUCUGAGGAAAAUAAAAAAAUAAAAAAUUCGUUUAUUUUUCCUUAUCGUUAGGUUGCCAGUAACAAAAACUAAUCGACAACUGACUAACAUGGACACUUAAUAUGUUUUUUUCUAAUUAAUGAACAAAUAGCAUAAUAUUUAUUUAUAUUUGCAUGGAAAAUUAUAACAAGUAGCUACAGAGCAUUUCUUUCAAAAUUUCAGUCAAAUAUCCCCUGUUGUUAGUAUAUAUUUUAACUGUAUUCAUAUAUUUAAUAAUAAAUUCUUCUAUCGUACAUCAAAAAUUGGUUCGGAAAACUUUACCGAACUAUAGAAAUCCGAAAUAGAUCCGAGUUCCAUCUUUCGCAUUCUAGACAUUUAAAUUCAGACCAUGACACAGAAUUCAUUAGUCGAGAUUCAUCUUAUACGAGGAUAUUUCCAGGAAUUACUGUGACUGAAUUAUUAUAUUAUUAAUGGGUUAUAUAAAUAUUGUUAUUUUGAAAAUUGAUUUUAAUCAAAAAUAGAAUAAAGGUAUGCCAAAGGAUCGUUAAUUGAUAAUAUGAAUCGCCAUAGCAACGAUGUUAUAUUUUAUUUCCGUAAGGUCCUUUUUCGGGCGUAAAAGUAUUCGCUUAGGAAAAAAUUUUAAAGCCAAAAUUAAAAAACUUUUUGUUGCAGCGCAUUAAACUUUUUAAGAAUUUGGGUAAAUGUAUGUCCGGAAUAAAGCAUUUAAAAUGUAUGGAAUUUUUUUGAUUGAGUUAUUUUCUGGACAGGUGAAAAACGAUCAUUGAAAAUGCUUGUGAGUAAAGUUAAACGUAAUUUGGAUAUUUUGAAUAUUCAUAAAAAUCGAAAUUAUUAUAAUUACACAUAGAAUAUUCGUUAAGUGUAUAAAUAAUUGAUUUAAGGUAUUAAUAGUGAUUUAGUUUGUGAGGCUUUUGUUUAGAGAUAAUAGCAUCGAAAGAAAAACAUUAAUAUAUUCACUUUACUACGAGUUUUGAAUUAUCUUAUAUAGAAGUGAGUCUUGUUAUGCUUGAACUGAAGUGUUUUGAAGAAGUAAUUAACUAUGUAUUGGAAUAACAAAUUAUACGAGAAGACAAUGGAAAUAGUUCAAAGGAAUCUAUUAAGAUCCUGUCAUAGAUUUUUUAUUUUUUUUCAUAAAAAUAUUUUACUAUGACACUCUGAUACUUAAUAUUGAGGACCUGUUAUAUGAUCUAUAUCACUAGGAAACCUCGGAAGUGUAUUUUUAACAACAAUUUCACUUAUUGAAAUAUGAAUAAGGAAAAGGUUUUUUAAGGUUUUUCAAUUUGAAUUUUAUUUUUCGUUAAGGGUUUUAUUUAUUUAUUUUUUAAAUAUGAUUUGAAUACCGAGUGGCACUUUUAUGCAUAAACUGAAUUUCAUAUUUCUGUGACAUUAAAAAUUCACGGGUAUUUUUAUUGUAUUUCUUAGCACACCAUAAAGAGGCAUUAUAUUAGAGAAAGAUUAUUGUUAUUAAAGAAAUAAAGAUGUCAAAUUAAACUAAUUGUAAAUUUUAAUCAAACUAUAUGAUCUGCGGAGAACCGAGAAAUGGGGGAUUGUAAACAAAGGAUUUAGAAAUAUCACAACAUUUGAAAUAACAUAAAUACUUACAAAGAUACUUAAGAAAAUGAACGUGUGUUCUAAACAAACAGUUCCUAGGAGUUCAGAUACACGAAGACCGAGGAAAACAAAUAGAGAAUUCUUUUCAGUAAAAACAAACCUUAAAAUGAACACAAAAUUAAGUGAAUAAUUCAAAUAAAAGUCAACAUUUCAAAUAUCUCUACACCACGUCACCUCUAACAAAGAAUGUAUUUCAAUGUAUUAAAUCAAGUGUAUUUUGGCCAUAUUCAAAACGAACGUAAUUGGUAAUUCAAUUCAAGAUUAAAAAAAGAUCAAGAUUAGAUGUCAAGCUGAACUUUGAAGUUGUAAAUAAUGUAUUACUCCAGCGAGUGAAAAUAGUUGUUAAAAAUAUAUACGUAUAAAACCAUGAAGAGAAUUCAAUACGUCUUGCUUAUGCUACGAGGUUAAUCGAUACAGACAUUGCCAUCAGUUUAAAUUCACACUAGUUUGUUCCUAAAUGUAUGCCUCGGAAGUGAAAAUACCAGGUAACUUAUUUAACAUUCAAUUAUUAAAAUUCAUACAAUCGAAAUGA